RNAcentral lists this ribosomal RNA (708 nucleotides) under Escherichia coli. RNAcentral describes it as "partial 23S ribosomal RNA". It matches the Rfam family "Bacterial large subunit ribosomal RNA", at positions 186 to 934 of the family's 2925-position model. Lineage: Bacteria; Pseudomonadati; Pseudomonadota; Gammaproteobacteria; Enterobacterales; Enterobacteriaceae. The record is from RNAcentral.
GGGGGAACUGAAACAUCUAAGUACCCCGAGGAAAAGAAAUCAACCGAGAUUCCCCCAGUAGCGGCGAGCGAACGGGGAGCAGCCCAGAGCCUGAAUCAGUGUGUGUGUUAGUGGAAGCGUCUGGAAAGGCGCGCGAUACAGGGUGACAGCCCCGUACACAAAAAUGCACAUGCUGUGAGCUCGAUGAGUAGGGCGGGACACGUGGUAUCCUGUCUGAAUAUGGGGGGACCAUCCUCCAAGGCUAAAUACUCCUGACUGACCGAUAGUGAACCAGUACCGUGAGGGAAAGGCGAAAAGAACCCCGGCGAGGGGAGUGAAAAAGAACCUGAAACCGUGUACGUACAAGCAGUGGGAGCACGCUUAGGCGUGUGACUGCGUACCUUUUGUAUAAUGGGUCAGCGACUUAUAUUCUGUAGCAAGGUUAACCGAAUAGGGGAGCCGAAGGGAAACCGAGUCUUAACUGGGCGUUAAGUUGCAGGGUAUAGACCCGAAACCCGGUGAUCUAGCCAUGGGCAGGUUGAAGGUUGGGUAACACUAACUGGAGGACCGAACCGACUAAUGUUGAAAAAUUAGCGGAUGACUUGUGGCUGGGGGUGAAAGGCCAAUCAAACCGGGAGAUAGCUGGUUCUCCCCGAAAGCUAUUUAGGUAGCGCCUCGUGAAUUCAUCUCCGGGGGUAGAGCACUGUUUCGGCAAGGGGGUCAUCCCGA